GGAGAUGUAGCUCAGUGGUAGAGAAUUUGGCUUAGCAUGCACAAGGCCCUGGGUUCAAUCCCCAGUAAACUUCC
RNAcentral lists this transfer RNA (74 nucleotides) under Marmota monax (woodchuck). RNAcentral's name for it is "tRNA.Ala". Lineage: Eukaryota; Metazoa; Chordata; Mammalia; Rodentia; Sciuridae. The record is from RNAcentral.